Molecule: long non-coding RNA, 202 nt
Filed under: Mytilus galloprovincialis (Mediterranean mussel)
Lineage: Eukaryota; Metazoa; Mollusca; Bivalvia; Mytilida; Mytilidae
Source: RNAcentral
GCGUGUAGAUAAAAUUGUUAUGGACACUCUAGAACCAAAAUGUUUAAAACUUGGUAUGGUAUUACUCGUUAAAGUUGAAAGGUCAAGGUCACAGUGGCAGUCGUAAUACAAGGCAAUACCACCCUUGUUGACACUCUCAAACUAAUAUGCUUCAAAAGAUUUUAACCACAUUUGGUAUAUAGUUCCUCCUUGUAAUGAUCUG